CAUGCCGUAAACGAUGAAUGCUAAGUGUUAGGGGGUUUCCGCCCCUUAGUGCUGCAGCUAACGCAUUAAGCACUCCGCCUGGGGAGUACGACCGCAAGGUUGAAACUCAAAGGAAUUGACGGGGGCCCGCACAAGCGGUGGAGCAUGUGGUUUAAUUCGAAGCAACGCGAAGAACCUUACCAGGUCUUGACAUCCCAGUGAUCGCUCUAGAGAUAGAGUUUUCCCUUCGGGGACAUUGGUGACAGGUGG
This 249-nucleotide ribosomal RNA is filed under the name uncultured bacterium. Its description in RNAcentral is "partial 16S ribosomal RNA". It matches the Rfam family "Bacterial small subunit ribosomal RNA", at positions 796 to 1041 of the family's 1533-position model. The record is from RNAcentral.